UUGGAUCUAGAGGGAGUAGAGGAAGGAAAAAAAAAUCAGAUGUCUACAGUACUUACUAAAACAAUUACAAAAAAGCAUUUAAUUCCUGAUGGUCUAGGCUUUUCUGUUACUUACCAUGUUUCAGAUGAUACUGAUACAAAUCUAUACUGACUGGAUAACAUGAUUUAACCCAUGUAGGAUUCAAUGCUUCUUUCUUCAGAUGAAAAGGAGGCAGAGAAUCAUGAGUGACAUGAUUUUCUGUCUUUACAACCCAACAAAGCACACACUUUCAUACAACAAGUUAUAAUACAAUAAUAUAAAAAUAUAUAUAAUUUCAUCUGAGCAUCACCAUGAUUUCACUGCACCCUUUUGUGGUUCAUCACAGAGUCCCAGAUCACCAAAGACUGCCACAUUUCUCCAUAAGCAGGUGAACUGAAACAAACCUCAUGUAAGUUUUAUUUUCUUUAAUUUUUUUUACACUGACUUUUGGAAGAUUUGGUUCAGAAUUAUCCCAAACUUAACUACUGACUCAGUAAACCGUUGCUUUCAUGGUUUGUUGCUGCAUUUUAAGGGUAAAAUUAUACUAGUGUUAUUUUUGUCAAGCGUUUAAUUCAUAGCCAAAUGUUUCAAGUCAGCAAAUUUUCAACCCACAGCAUUCAAGCAACCUUUCACCCAUGAGACCUUCUGAUCUGUUUAACAGCCACUGAAAGUAUAAAACAGAUUGAGGAGGAGAGCACAUUGCAAUGCUGCUCACAGCUUGUGAUGUGCCAGUGCUGCUGCCCACAGACCAAGGAGGGCUGUGACCCACAGCAUGAGGAAUCUGCUCGAGUGUGCUGCAGGAGAACCACCACCUCUUCACAACUGUUUUUGUUGUAUCCACCCUUGCCCUGCUCCUACCAAACCCUCCCCACUGUUCUUCCCAAACUAAUCCUGAGAAAACCAUGUUCCACCGCUAACACUAUGAUACAAAAUGCCCCAUACAAGUACUGUUGGGCAUGGAGACAGCUGAGGUUCUGGAGUCGUGGACACUGCAGCAGAAAUGCUCACUCCAUCCCAAUCCACUUCAUCCCAUGAGUCAUACUAAUUAAACUCCCUGCUCACUUGCAGGCUGUGCUUUUACAAGAACAAGAAAUGUGGUGCUCAGCUAUGCUAGAAAACAUUAAUCUUAUCUAUCAAACCUUACCCACUUCUCAAUUUUUUUCCAGGAAUUAGCUAAUCCCUGUCACUAUCUGUCUACCACAGGGACAAACACUGAGACUCAUGGGUCUUAACUCCAAAACUGAGGUCUUCUCUCAGCUUUUGGCUGCAGCACACCUUGAUAACCAGCUCCCUUCCUCUGGCAGCCCUCUGCAUCUCCUCCAGCUAAGCCAGCUGCAGGUUGAGAGAGCCAGUUCUUCCCUCAUGGACACAUGAGAACAGUCUGUCAAGAGAAAAGGCAUGGCAAACGGAAAGCACUUCAUGCAGUGGUUAUAACAGAAUUCUGCCAAAGCCCACAGAAACCUUGUGCAGAGCAUGGCUCAAUUUUUCAACAGAUAUAUUCACUGAGUACAAACAAUCAUAUUAUAUUUAACUGGUUCUUUGGUAACAAAAGUAGCUUCCUGAUUUUACUGCCACCCAGUUUUCCCACCCUUGCAUUACUGGAACUCAGAAUGGCUAGCUCAACCUGCUGACCAAGACUGAAAGAUUUAAACAAGAAAUCUGCUUCAAAACAUGCUCUUAAAAAUCCAGAAAAUUCCGUGUAGAUUCUGGCACUACAUCAAUUGCCAUAUAGUAUCAGUGUAUUUGGUUUGCAUAGCCAAGCUUUGGUGGUGGUGGGGGGGGCUACAGGGUGGUUUCUGUGAGAGCCUGUGAGAAGCUUCCUCAGUGUCCAGCAGAGCUAGUCUCUGGUGGCUUCAAAGAUGGAUGUGCCACUGGCUAAGGCUGGACCAAUUAGAAAUGGUGGUAACACCUCUGUGAUAACAGAUGUAAGGAGAAGGGAAAAAAACACCCAAUGCUUGUGCAGUUGUAAUUGCCACCAGAGAAGAGCAGAGUGAGAACAUGUGAGAGGACACCCAAGUCACUGCAGAAGGAAAGACAGGAGGUGCUCCAGGCACCAGAGCUGAGGUUCUCCUGCAGCCCGUGGUGCGAUCAUGGUGAGGCAGCUGUGGCCCUGCUGCCCCUAGAGGGCUCUGGGGAUGCAGAGAUCCACCUGCAGCCCCUGGAGGAGACCCAGGCCAGAGCAGGUGGAUGCCUGAGAGGAGGCUGUGAACCCAUGGAGAGAGAAGGUCACACUGGAGCAGGCUGUGGCUGAAGGACUGCACCCCAUGGAAGAGUGACCUACAUUGCAGAAGCUCAUGGAGAACUGUUGCCCGUGGGAUGGACUCACUGGAGAAGUUCAUAGAUAACUGCCUCCCAUGGGGGAGACUCCUUGCUGGAGCAGGGGAUGGAGUCCUCUCCCUGAGCAGUAGCAGGGAUAUGUGAUGAACUGACCACAACCCCCAUUCCCAUCUCCCUGCACCUCUCUAGGGGAGGAGGUAGAGCUGGGAAGGAGGGAAGGGUAGGGGGAAGGUGUUUUCAGGUCUCAUUUUACU
Passer domesticus (house sparrow) is the source of this 2549-nucleotide long non-coding RNA. RefSeq lists it as uncharacterized. Lineage: Eukaryota; Metazoa; Chordata; Aves; Passeriformes; Passeridae. The record is from RefSeq and is a predicted model, not a curated record. The transcript is spliced from 3 exons.